UACGAAGGGGGCUAGCGUUGCUCGGAAUUACUGGGCGUAAAGGGCGCGUAGGCGGACAGUUUAGUCAGAGGUGAAAGCCCAGGGCUCAACCUUGGAAUUGCCUUUGAUACUGGCUGCCUUGAGUUCGGGAGAGGUGAGUGGAAUGCCGAGUGUAGAGGUGAAAUUCGUAGAUAUUCGGCGGAACACCAGUGGCGAAGGCGACUCACUGGCCCGAUACUGACGCUGAGGCGCGAAAGCGUGGGGAGCAAACAGG
This 253-nucleotide ribosomal RNA is filed under the name uncultured bacterium. RNAcentral describes it as "partial 16S ribosomal RNA". It matches the Rfam family "Bacterial small subunit ribosomal RNA", at positions 524 to 776 of the family's 1533-position model. The record is from RNAcentral.